GACGAACGCUGGCGGCGUGCUUAACACAUGCAAGUCGAACGGAAAGGCCCUGCUUUUGUGGGGUGCUCGAGUGGCGAACGGGUGAGUAACACGUGAGUAACCUGCCCUUGACUUUGGGAUAACUUCAGGAAACUGGGGCUAAUACCGGAUAGGAGCUCCUGCUGCAUGGUGGGGGUUGGAAAGUUUCGGCGGUUGGGGAUGGACUCGCGGCUUAUCAGCUUGUUGGUGGGGUAGUGGCUUACCAAGGCUUUGACGGGUAGGCGGCCUGGGAGGGGGACCGGCCACAUGGGGACUGAGAUACGGCCCAGUCUCCUACGGGAGGCAGCAGGGGGGAAUAUUGCGCAGUGGGCGGAAGCCUGAUGCAGCAACGCCGCGUGCGGGAUGACGGCCUUCGGGUUGUAAACCGCUUUCGCCUGUGACGAAGCGUGAGUGACGGUAAUGGGUAAAGAAGCACCGGCUAACUACGUG
Molecule: ribosomal RNA, 468 nt
Filed under: uncultured bacterium
Lineage: Bacteria
Description: partial 16S ribosomal RNA
Rfam family: Bacterial small subunit ribosomal RNA
Source: RNAcentral